RNAcentral lists this unclassified non-coding RNA (441 nucleotides) under Hevea brasiliensis (rubber tree). The record is from RNAcentral. Lineage: Eukaryota; Viridiplantae; Streptophyta; Magnoliopsida; Malpighiales; Euphorbiaceae.
AGUGAGAUGCAGGAGAAGUGGGGGCAUAAGAUUUACCAUCAAUGGAAAGAACUACUUUGAGCUUGUGCUUAUAUCAGAUGUAGGAGGAGCAGGAGAAAUCUCCAGCGUGUGGAUCAAAGGGUCUAAAUACAACAAAUGGGAAGCCAUGUCAAGGAAUUGGGGCGCCAAUUGGCAGAGCCUAAGCUAUCUGAAUGGCCAGAGCUUGUCCUUUAGAGUCCAAGCCAGCGACGGAAGAACCCUCACUGCUCUUAACUUGGUACCUUCCAACUGGGUGUUUGGCCAGUCUUUCAAAAGCAAUGUUCAAUUCUAGAAUAUUUUGUUUCCCUUUUCAACCUGUCAAAUUUGUUUGUGUUUAACUGGUUUUUCAUGUUUUUAUCACCACCACUGUAUUGAUUGCUUGCAUUGGUUGUUGCUUAGCAUUGUGCAAUGAAGCCCUCCGAG